CAGCCAUGCAGGGCAGAGUCAGGACUGGUAUUUUCAGGGCAGGGAUGUACCGUGGCCUCUCUGCUCUGCUCCGCUCCUACCCCUACACAUCCACUUCUGUUGCUUUGCAACACACAGCCCGUUCCCAGUUCAGGAGGACACUUUUCCACUUGCAAUUGUCUUAACUGUUUUGGAUCCCCUCCCACAGUCAUCACCUAAAUGCUCUCCCCUCUCUCUGCAGGCAGAGGUCAAACCUGUGUCCUUGCUGCCAACUGAAAAGCAAAUCGAUUGACAUCUUCUAGGAGGCAAUUGCACUCUUCGAAAGCCAAAUGGAAUCUCUCAUUUGCUGCAGCUGCAAGAAGAUUAACAGGUUGUGUCUCCCAUUCUCAGCCCUCAAC
Molecule: long non-coding RNA, 377 nt
Filed under: Gallus gallus (chicken)
Lineage: Eukaryota; Metazoa; Chordata; Aves; Galliformes; Phasianidae
Description: long non-coding RNA NONGGAT004985
Source: RNAcentral